RNAcentral lists this long non-coding RNA (5019 nucleotides) under Brassica napus (rape). RNAcentral's name for it is "long non-coding RNA (BNAP_LNC025732)". Lineage: Eukaryota; Viridiplantae; Streptophyta; Magnoliopsida; Brassicales; Brassicaceae. The record is from RNAcentral.
GGUUCUUGCCUUGCAGGGUCUCCAGCUCCUCUUUUCGCAGCUGUUUAAGAGGCUCAGGAGUUUGGAGAGGCAAGUAGGACUUGUUGGAGAAGAAUGUCCGCUUGGUUGGGUCAUCGGACUUGGAGGCCACCCACGAGUUACAUGUAAAGGUAACGGGGCCGUCAGGUAGCUCAAGCUUCAUUUCCUUGAGGAAUAUCUCUCUAUGGGCCUCGUUUAAAACUCUGAUGGCACCCACCGCUCCAAAGUCUUUGGGCAUGUCAAAUACACACUCGUACUGAUCCUCACCAUGUGCAUCAAUCACUAAACGUCGUGCGUGAUCCUUCACCGGAUCCUUCUCCAUUAGCGUCUCUGACAUGUGUUAAUGACUUGGUUAAGUAUCAUUACCAGUAUUCACUACUGAUGCAUUAGCCUACUUUUUACUUCUUAUAUAAAAUAAUAAUAAUAUGUUUGCUUGAUAAUUGUACUCACGGGGGUCAGUCUCGGCGCUAAUAAGCUCGACAAGCAGUGAAACUCCAAGCAAAUCGGUGAAGCCAACGGAAGGUAAUAAGCCUUGUUUGGCCGUUAUAAUUCCCUUUACUUUGAUUUUCUUAACUCUUUCUUUCGCUCUCCAAUCAAUAUCAAACUUUGAGGCUGUGACCGUACAUCGUCCUCUGAGGUUUGGACGAGGGCACAGCUUGUAACGAUGUCCUGCCGAGAGGGGGUUGAUGAGUGCUGAUGGUUUAGUGAACUCAGAGCUGAGACUCUUUGCUAUGUUUAAGGUCUGGAGACUGGACGAUGCCUCUUUACAAAACAUCUUUUAUCUGUUUGCUUUUCUAUUUUGCUUACUCUCUUGUGCAUCCCCGCUACAUCUAUUUAUACAAGUAUAGAAAAUAUUAAAUCUUUUUCUCAUUUCAAAAAGUAGAAAAAAAUGUUUUCUACUGAGCUAUCAACAAACUUUCUCAACUUACUAUCUUAACUUCAUAAUAUUAAACUUUCUUCACUUGAUAUCUUAAAUCAAGUUACAUUUUUAAUCGAGUUUUUUUUUUUUGAUAAUCCAAGGAAUCCGAACACUUGGAGGGAACCCACUAUGUACCUGCUGAUUAGGUCUGCAGGUAAGCCUUCCCUGUCGAACCUCCAUAGUUUGUCAUAGACAUCUGAACUUAGCUCUAAUGAAUACUUUCCGGGCCAGAAACAAGACUCAAUGAUUCCACCUGCGUUGACGAGACUUUGGCGUCCACGAGCGUUGAUCUCCAUCGUGUAGCGGAAGUGGGGAUGCAAAAGCCUAUAGAUAGGAUGCAUGGCACUUAGUUGUCUGUUUGCCGCUAUAAUGUAUGGCUCCAUACAGCAGUGAGUCCUCAGCCUGUAAAAUUUUCCAUCUCUUAACAGCAAUAACACAUACGCAGAAUCUUCCAAAAAUAAAAAUAAAAAAAAUAACACAUACGCAGAGCCGUGCAAGCAUUCAUAACGAACAUAAGCGGUUGAAAAUAAAAUGUCUUAAUUUGUAUAAAAUUAAAUACUAUUGUCACAGAUGAAAAACACCGACAAUAUACAACAUUCAUUCUAAACAUAAUUUAUCCUAUUCUUAUUAUGCAAAUUGAUGACUAAACUUUAUUUUUAAUAUCCAGAAAUCGUUUUAAUGGAAAAAUAACCAAUUUUACUUCAUCAUAUUUUUAUCUUAUUUUCUAUUAUUGUCAGUUUUUCUAUUUAAAAAUAUUAUCUAGGUAUUCUACUAAUAAAACUACGAAAAUGUCAUUAGAAAUCCCUAAGACCAUAAGAAUCAAUCUUUUAUUACUUUCUUUACCCAACCCAUAUUUAGCUUAUCCAAAUUACUAUAACAUAAAUCCAUACACUAUACAUAGAUAUCUUCUUUUAUUUAGGAGUAAAAUUAGUAUACUUAAUUAAAAAUGUUUUAAUCGAAAACAAAAGAUGCCAUAUUAAGUUUAUAAAAAAAACGCUGCCCUAGGCGAACGCUUCAUUUUUCAUAACAGAGGCACGGCUCUGCACAUACGUCUAAUGUGUAUAACCAUAUAUACACGAGAGGAUCAAGUUCGUUCAAUACCAGUGGGAAAUAAGCUGGUGAUAACCAGCGUCAUGAGUAAUAGCGUGAGUCUUAGCAAGACUCCAUAGCCAGCAGGAGGUAGCAUCAUAUCCUGGCGUGAAUACCUGCCUCCAUUGGGGCCUGUUUACAUCUUGGGGACGAGUCAACUCAAUGGCAACAGGUCUCAAUGUGCUAUCAUCGUUGAGGAAGAAUAGUGUUCGAGAAGCAUAUAAGGUGCUAUCAUCCAACUCUCUCACUUUGUUCACAUACGGUAGAAGCAAAUCAUGAUAGUCCAACAUGAACAAUCUCUUGUUCUCCAGAGCCUGCAUGCACACAUCCAUUGAUAUUUAUUCAUUAUGGAAUUACUUCAUAUGGAUGGAUGGAUAUAUAUAUAUGCUUUUUUCUUUAAAACAUGUGGAUAUUAGUUAAUGUUACCUCAUCAAAUGACAUAACUCCUUUGAUUUCUCUUUCCACAAUCUCACUUGUAAUGAGUGAGUUGGGAUCACCAUAAACCGCAGGGUCUAGUUUGCUUUUCAACGGCCACUCCUAGAACAACAAUGUGAUCUCAACUAGCUUACUUUUUCUACUUUUAGUUUCAAAACCGAAACAUGAUUUUCUUUAUAAAAAGAAGUUCCAUCAAACCAUGUACGUACUAGGUGACUCUUCUGUGCUCAUGCACGGGUAUAAAAAUUUACAAAAUAAUCAAUUAUAAUUAAUAUCUUUUUGCUUUCACUUAUUGAUCAAUUUUAAAUCCUAUUAUAAUCAAUAUGUGUGUGAAAACUAAUGUAUGAAAAUUAAAUAUCAUGUUAUGUUUUAAAUAAAAUUAUGUUGUUAUCUCAAUUUAGUAUGAUAUUGUAUAUAUAACAAUUUAGAUAGGUUCAAUUAUUCUUUUUGGUAUAUUAGAUUGUUUAUAAUUUUCAACUAAAUCAUAAUUUAUUGUGGUUUAAAAUAUAUUAAAAUCAGAUUAUUGUAAUUAUAUUUAGUUCGAUUCAUCAUAUUAAUUUGUUAAUAUAUUUUAGAAAAAUCUCUAUUAUUUAAUGUAUAAGUUGUUUUAGGAGGCGUCAACAAAAAAAAAGUCGACAAAAAAAUUGUUUUAGGAGGAAAUAGAAAUAAAAAGUAAGUGUUACUUUAGUUAGAAUUGCACUAACCAAUAUAAACAGUGAUGUUCUGAAAGUUAUAUAAAUAACUAAAUUAUAAUAACUGAUUAAUGUUUUGCUUUCACUGGUUCAUAAAAUUUAUGAAGGUUUAUAACUUAUGUCUUGAAAAAUAAAUAUAAUUUUUAAUUAUAUUGAUAACUCAGUUUGACAUAUAAUUCUAGGUAUAAGAAUUCAGACCAAUUUGAUUAUUUACUUUUAAAAAAAAUUGCAACAAUUUAACUAAAUUAAAGUAACUGUUUUUCUUGGUUCUAAUUAUGGUAAGAUAUUGUGAAUCAUUUUGUUAUUUCAUUUAUUUUGGUUAUUCAUCUUACAUUAGUAAGUAUUUUAUAAAUCUUAUAUAAUUUCUAUAGUCCAAAACUAACAUUAUAAGAAGAAAAAAGAAACAACUUCGAAUUUAAAAUUAGUAGUAACUUUUAUUUGAAAAUAGUUAAUAUUUUCAAUCCGUUAAUAUGUUCUAAAUAAAAUAUCAUAACUACUAGAUAAUAUACAAAAUAAAUAAUAUGUUUUUAUGUAUUACUGAGUAUAUAUAUAUUUUAAACGAUAAUAUUUUGAAAAUUAAUUAAUUGUUAAACUAAUUUUUAUUAAUCCAGUAUACAUUUAUUACUGAGUUUUGAAAAAAAAAACAAUGUAAGAAUUGUUUAUAAAAGACUUUCCAAAUAGUUUUACAAAGAUUUAUAGAUAUUUUCCAUUUUGUUAUUUAAAAAAAUAUUAAUAAAAACUAAAAUAAAAUUUUUGAUUAUGACAAUUACAAGAAGUUUAAUUCAUUAAGGUUAUUAAUGUAGUUAGCCGUAUUAAAAAUUAACGUGAACACGAAACAUAGAAAAAUGACUUCUACGAUAAUAUAGCUAUUAGAUAAAGCGUAUAUAGCUUACUUGAACUAGCCCAAUGCAAAGGGGAUUAAGGCCAGCAAGUGUCUGGCGAGCAAACUCGUCGUCUCGGAUCCAUGAAAAUCUAUCCUCUGAAUCAAAGUAAAUGAUACAGUAAAGUGAGAUUAAUUGUAGCUAGCUGUAUAGAAUUGGAUAUAAUAAAUAUAUAAAUGGAGGAUUAAAAAAGAGCUUGUUACUGUCAAGGAGGAUAGGGGAAUCAAACUGGAGAAUAUCAUCAGCUUCAGCAACAGCUUUGACAAGUCUGGGGAUCAGAGGAAAAAGGCCAGCAUUCUUGGGAAGCUCGAUGCCUUCUUCAAAGAGAUCUUCUAUGGACUUGAAGUGUGGGAAGGGCAUGUUGGGAUCCACCAGAGCAGCUUCAAUCUGUGGGAACACAGCAGGAAGAGCCGCCAAGAUUGUCGUGCCCGUGAAUGCAGUGCCCUUGACUGUGGACCACUCCUCGUCUCUAGGGACAUAGAAAUCCCCUUUGCGUGUCUCAAUGGAGGGGUAUUUUCGGCUUGGUUUGCGACCAGUCUUGCACCGCCUUGGGUAUGGAUGAGAGAGGCCUCCCAUAACGGGACGGGCAAGUUUUGGAUCUUUGUCAGGAUCACCCACAUCGUUGUACACGUCAUAAUCGUAAACGCGCUCAAACUUUUUGAGUUCACCAUCACGCUCACGGUUCUUGCCUUGCAGGGUCUCCAGCUCCUCUUUUCGCAGCUGUUUAAGAGGCUCAGGAGUUUGGAGAGGCAAGUAGGACUUGUUGGAGAAGAAUGUCCGCUUGGUUGGGUCAUCGGACUUGGAGGCCACCCACGAGUUACAUGUAAAGGUAACGGGGCCGUCAGGUAGCUCAAGCUUCAUUUCCUUGAGGAAUAUCUCUCUAUGGGCCUCGUUUAAAACUCUGAUGGCACCCACCGCUCCAAAGUCUUUGGGCAUGUCAAAUACACACUCGUACUGAUCCUCACCAUGUGCAUCAAUCACUAAA